Non-coding RNA from Potamilus streckersoni, 77 nucleotides. NCBI's taxonomy places the organism in Eukaryota, Metazoa, Mollusca, Bivalvia, Unionida, Unionidae. The record is from the annotation of a GenBank genome assembly.
GACUGCUCAGGUAGCCUAGUGGUUAGAGCGUCCUCCACGGAUGCGAAAGGUCGUGGGUUCAAUCCCCGAUCGAGUCA